ACGACCAUGGAAAUGACUGGCUCAAAGCAGGGACUUGAUGGAGCCAACAUUGACAAGUGGAAUUUCAAAGCUCUGCUGAGAAGUACGUGGAAGUGAUAACACAACACCCUAAUAUUUCCAACUAUUCAUGGAGAAAGCUACAAAAUACAAUCCAGAUGUUUUUCCUCCCCAACUCUGAAAACCUGAACCUGACCUUUCCCUAUUCCCAGGAACAGAAAAGACAAAGGCCUUGACUUGCUGCAGACCCUGGAAGUUUCAAAAACAGACCCAUAUAGAGACCAGGGACUCACUGACUUCUGAGGGAAGAGUGUGCCCAGGAAAGCGGGGAGGCAGAGAUUGCAGGAAAAGGCAGAAAUGUGAAAGCAAAAAGGCAGAUGGAAAAGGAGGAACAAUGUUAGAGGGUGUAUUUGUGAUAACAGUUUCAAGUCUGGGUGGGGAGUGCCCUGGCCCUUUGAUUGGCCUAAGUGGGUGAGGUGCUGGGGUAAGAAAUAACUCAGCACUCAGCAUUCCAGCCUUCCCCACUGUUAGCCAUCUUUGGAGUUAUUGCUGAAGUCCUUGAGUGAAGAAUGACUCAGACUUCCCCUGGGUUCCUCGGUGCAUUUACCUCUGGAAUAAAGGCCAACGUGAUGUCCAGAAUAGAGAAAGAAAUAGUCACUGGCAAGUACAAGACACACCUCUUUCAGGGGCUACGUUAUGGACAAAGUGUCCUCCUGUGGACAUCUGUCUGAGAAACCUUCCUCAAGAAAGUCCAUGCUCCAACAAGAGGCAUCUUGGAACUGAGACAGCCAGGUGGGAAGGGCUCCUGGCAAAACUUCAAUCGGUCUGCGCACUGGGAGGAAUGAACAGUGGGAUGGAGCCAUGGAAGUCUGCACCACCGUUUUCAGCAGGGAAGGGCCUGGCCCCUCCUCUUUCUGUGCGAAACUUGAGAUUCACACUUCAAGGUCUUGGAUCUUGGACAAGUCACAACUGUGUUACCUUCAAUGAAAACAGCAGACAAAUCUUAUUUGUGAUAUUUUUUGUGAUUCUCAGAACGUGCCAAGGAUCAAUGGAAGCAUUUGCCUCUUGUCACAUUCAGGCCACUGAACAGGUGGCCUGA
RNAcentral lists this long non-coding RNA (1096 nucleotides) under Callithrix jacchus (white-tufted-ear marmoset). RNAcentral describes it as "lncRNA (ENSCJAG00000062209.2)". The record is from RNAcentral. Lineage: Eukaryota; Metazoa; Chordata; Mammalia; Primates; Cebidae.